UGUCUUUAAGUUUUUUAUUUAAAGUCCAAUCUGCUCACUGAAUUUUAAAGAGCCGCAGUAUUUGAACUGUGCAAAGGUAGCAUAAUCAAUAGUUUUUUAAUUGAAAACUUGUAUGAAAGAUUAGAUGAGAAAAUGAUUUUCUUUUUUUUAUAAAAAUUUAAUUUAAAUUUUAAGUGAAAAUUCUUAAAUAAAUUAAAAAGACGAGAAGACCCUAUAGAUUUUUAUUAUUAAUGAUUUAAAUAAUAAAUUUAAAUUAUUAAUAAUUUAAUUGGGGUGAUUUUGUAAUAUAAAAAACUUAAUAUAUUUAAACCAAUAAAUAAUUGAAAUUUUUGAUCUAAAAUUUUUUAUAAAUAGAAUAAAUUACCUUAGGGAUAACAGCGUAAUUUUAUUUAAGAGUUCAUAUCUAUAAUAAAGUUUGCGACCUCGAUGUUGAAUUAAGAUAAAAUAUUGAAGCAGAAAUUAAUAUUAUUAGUCUGUUCGACUAUUAAAUUCU
This 493-nucleotide ribosomal RNA is filed under the name Philotarsus kwakiutl. RNAcentral's name for it is "partial 16S ribosomal RNA". The record is from RNAcentral. Lineage: Eukaryota; Metazoa; Arthropoda; Insecta; Psocodea; Philotarsidae.